This 29-nucleotide non-coding RNA is filed under the name Mus musculus (house mouse). Lineage: Eukaryota; Metazoa; Chordata; Mammalia; Rodentia; Muridae. The record is from RNAcentral.
UAGUACAGAAGGCUCCAAUUGAAAGUUGC